UUAAGAUUACAGAGCAAUUACACGCUUCUCCACAGAUCACAGAUUGGAACGGGAGGUAACGUCAACUUGACCUACUUUAUUCAGUUAGAGGUGCUCUGGAUCAAAAGAGGCCACAGGAGGGUCUGCCUUUCAAAUGGAAAUCCUGCGCUGAUGCAUUCGCAGCACAAAGGAGUCUGUUUCUUAUCUCUGGAGGAAAGUCGGAUCUUCUCUGUGAAGCCAGCUUCAGAGAGAGACAGAGGGGGCAGCUGAAUUUUGGCUUCAGCUCCACACGGCUACAGGAAAUAUGUUUUCUGCUGUCGGGCUCUGCGGAGCCAUGAAGCCGUUUAUGGGACGGAUGAUGGAGUGGAGGCUCGGCUCGUGAUGAAGUUCCAUCAGAGCCGCGGAGUGUAAUAAAGAGGAA
Long non-coding RNA from Poecilia latipinna (sailfin molly), 400 nucleotides. RefSeq lists it as uncharacterized. Lineage: Eukaryota; Metazoa; Chordata; Actinopteri; Cyprinodontiformes; Poeciliidae. The transcript has 3 exons. The record is from RefSeq and is a predicted model, not a curated record.